Molecule: transfer RNA, 69 nt
Filed under: Pharomachrus auriceps
Lineage: Eukaryota; Metazoa; Chordata; Aves; Trogoniformes; Trogonidae
Description: tRNA-Asp
Rfam family: tRNA
About the family: Transfer RNA (tRNA) molecules are approximately 80 nucleotides in length.
Source: RNAcentral
GAGAUGUUAGUAAACUAAUUACAUGACCUUGUCAAGGCCAAAUCACAGGUGAAAACCCUGUACACCUCA